UCGAGGAUCUUCGGCAAUGGGCGCAAGCCUGACCGAGCGACGCCGCGUGUGCGAUGAAGGCCUUCGGGUUGUAAAGCACUGUCGAGGGGGAGAAAGCUCCGCAAGGGGUUGAUCUAUCCCUGGAGGAAGCACGGGCUAAGUUCGUGCCAGCAGCCGCGGUAAGACGAACCGUGCGAACGUUGUUCGGAAUCACUGGGCUUAAAGGGCGCGUAGGCGGGCGGUCAAGUCUGUGGUGAAAUCCUUCGGCUCAACCGGAGAAUAGCUGGAGAUACUGGCCGUCUCGAGGGGGGUAGGGGCAUGUGGAACUUCCGGUGGAGCGGUGAAAUGCGUAGAUAUCGGAAGGAACGCCGGUGGCGAAAGCGACGUGCUGGACCCUUUCUGACGCUGAGGCGCGAAAGCCAGGGGAGCAAACGGGAUUAGAUACCCCCGUAGUCC
Molecule: ribosomal RNA, 435 nt
Filed under: uncultured bacterium
Lineage: Bacteria
Description: bacterial SSU rRNA
Rfam family: Bacterial small subunit ribosomal RNA
Source: RNAcentral